This is a long non-coding RNA of Carassius carassius (crucian carp), 611 nucleotides long. RefSeq lists it as uncharacterized. The transcript is spliced from 3 exons. The record is from RefSeq and is a predicted model, not a curated record. NCBI's taxonomy places the organism in Eukaryota, Metazoa, Chordata, Actinopteri, Cypriniformes, Cyprinidae.
UGUUCACUAGCUUCUACCACUCUCUCGCUCUCACUCUCAUUUUAGUUUAGGGUGGAGGUUGAAACUGGAUUUAACUGACGCUUAAAGAAAGAAAGUAACUAGAAUAGCAGAGCAUGUGUUAUAUGUGUUCUUUUAGAUAUCUAUCUGUGUAUGAAUAUAAAGAAUGGUCACUGCACGGAACAAACAGAUGAAGUUGUGGAGUUGUAGACAACCAGACAUCUACUGCAUCCAGAAAUAGAGACUUUCUCUGUUUUUCUCUCCCUGGUGUUUUGAGGGGGCACACACACACACACACAGAGAGACACAGUUUCAGACGGCAUCAAAGCGGUUCCUCACAGCUGUCUGCAUGUGCUGCCCGUUGAUUGAUAAUCCAUGGGAUUUCACACGUCUUUGCUCUGCUGGCUCAAACUGAGGAGCGAGAGGUCAUGAUGACUCCCAUUGUGUGUGUCAAAGGAGACGAUGAGGUCAUGAGGGACAAUGGUCCUUCAGAGGUCAAAGUUCGGAUUACGGGCAGGCUGUGCUCUUGGUGGGUAAACUGAAUUAGAUGACAACUGGAGAACCCAUUAGAUUAGAUUUCAAUUACUGUAUGUAUUUCUUGCAGAUCUAUGAAU